RNAcentral lists this ribosomal RNA (330 nucleotides) under uncultured bacterium. Its description in RNAcentral is "bacterial SSU rRNA". It matches the Rfam family "Bacterial small subunit ribosomal RNA", at positions 29 to 359 of the family's 1533-position model. The record is from RNAcentral.
AGUUAACGUUGGCGGCGUGCCUAACACAUGCAAGUCGAACGCGUCCUAAGGGCAACUUUAGGAUGAGUGGCGAACGGGUGAGUAUCACGUGGGUAAUCUUCCUUUAAGUGGGGAAUAAGCUCUCGAAAGGGAGUCUAAUACCGCAUGACAUUCCGGGACACAAGUCCCGUAAUCAAAGCCGCAAGGCGCUUGAAGAUGAGCCUGCGUCCUAUUAGCUAGUUGGUGGGGUAACGGCCUACCAAGGCUCAGAUGGGUAGCCGGCCUGAGAGGGUGAACGGCCACACUGGGACUGAGACACGGCCCAGACUCCUACGGGAGGCAGCAGUGAGG